UACAGAGGCCCCAAGCGUUACUGAGAAUCACUGGGUUUAAAGGGUGCGUAGGUGGUCCGUUAAGUCAGUUGUGAAAUCCCCGGGCUCAACCCGGGAACUGCUUCUGAUACUGGCGGACUUGAGGCCGGUAGGGGUCACUGGAACUGACGGUGGAGCGGUGAAAUGCGUAGAUAUCGUCAGGAACGCCGAUGGUGAAGACAGGUGACUGGGCCGGAUCUGACGCUGAGGCACGAAAGCGUGGGGAG
This 245-nucleotide ribosomal RNA is filed under the name uncultured bacterium. RNAcentral's name for it is "partial 16S ribosomal RNA". It matches the Rfam family "Bacterial small subunit ribosomal RNA", at positions 524 to 768 of the family's 1533-position model. The record is from RNAcentral.